RNAcentral lists this ribosomal RNA (1209 nucleotides) under uncultured bacterium. RNAcentral's name for it is "bacterial SSU rRNA". It matches the Rfam family "Bacterial small subunit ribosomal RNA", at positions 242 to 1466 of the family's 1533-position model. The record is from RNAcentral.
UAGUUUGUUGGUGAGGUAACGGCUCACCAAGACUACGAUGACUAGGGGGUCUGAGAGGAUGAUCCCCCACACUGGUACUGAGACACGGACCAGACUCCUACGGGAGGCAGCAGUAAGGAAUAUUACACAAUGGGGGCAACCCUGAUGUAGCGACACAGCGUGGAGGAAGAAGGUCUUAGGAUCGUAAACUCCUUUUAUAUGGGAAGAAUAAAUGACUGUACCAUAUGAAUAAGUACCUGCUAACUACGUGCCAGAAGCAUCGGUGAUGCGUAGGGUACAAACGUUAUUCGGAUUUAUUGGGCGUAAAGAGAAGCGUAGGCGUUUUCGUAAGUCUUGAGUUAAAGACCACGGCUCAACCGUGGAAGAGCUUUCGAUACUGCGAGAAUUGAGACAUGAAUGGGCGAAUGGAAUUCCGAGUGGAGUGGUGAAAUACGUUGAUAUUCGGAGGAACAUCAGUGGCGAAGGCGAUUCGCUGGUCAUUGUCUGACGCUAAGGCUCGAAAGCGUGGGUAGCAAAACGGAUUAGAUACCCGUGUAGUCCACGCCGUAAACGAUGAGUGCUAGGUGUUGGGUAGCGAUAUUCAGUGCCGAAGUUAACGCAUUAAGUACUCCGCCUGGGGAGUACGGUCGCAAGACUAAAACUCAAAGGAAUUGACGGGGGCCCGCACAAGCGGUGGAGCAUGUGGUUUAAUUCGACGCAACGCGAAGAACCUUACCAGGGCUUGACAUCCCCUUGACAGAUGCAGAGAUGUGUCCUCCCCUUCGGGGGCAAGGGAGACAGGUGGUGCAUGGUUGUCGUCAGCUCGUGUCGUGAGAUGUUGGGUUAAGUCCCGCAACGAGCGCAACCCUUAUCCUUAGUUGCCAGCAAGUUAAGUUGGGCACUCUAAGGAGACUGCCGAUGAUAAAUCGGAGGAAGGUGGGGAUGACGUCAAAUCAUCAUGCCCCUUAUAUCUUGGGCUACACACGUGCUACAAUGGUCGGUACAAAGGGCAGCGAAGGAGUGAUCUGGAGCAAAUCCCAAUAAACCGAUCCCAGUUCGGAUUGUAGGCUGCAACUCGCCUACAUGAAGUCGGAGUUGCUAGUAAUCGCGAAUCAGAACGUCGCGGUGAAUGCGUUCCCGGGUCUUGUACACACCGCCCGUCACACCAUGGAAGUUGGUAAUACCCGAAGCCGGUGAGCUAACCGUAAGGGGGCAGGCGCCUAAGGUAGG